RNAcentral lists this ribosomal RNA (773 nucleotides) under uncultured Streptococcus sp. RNAcentral's name for it is "bacterial SSU rRNA". It matches the Rfam family "Bacterial small subunit ribosomal RNA", at positions 28 to 776 of the family's 1533-position model. Lineage: Bacteria; Bacillati; Bacillota; Bacilli; Lactobacillales; Streptococcaceae. The record is from RNAcentral.
GACGAACGCUGGCGGCGUGCCUAAUACAUGCAAGUAGGACGCACAGUUUAUACCGUAGCUUGCUACACCAUAGACUGUGAGUUGCGAACGGGUGAGUAACGCGUAGGUAACCUGCCUAUUAGAGGGGGAUAACUAUUGGAAACGAUAGCUAAUACCGCAUAACAGUAUGUAACACAUGUUAGAUGCUUGAAAGAUGCAAUUGCAUCGCUAGUAGAUGGACCUGCGUUGUAUUAGCUAGUAGGUAGGGUAAAGGCCUACCUAGGCAACGAUACAUAGCCGACCUGAGAGGGUGAUCGGCCACACUGGGACUGAGACACGGCCCAGACUCCUACGGGAGGCAGCAGUAGGGAAUCUUCGGCAAUGGGGGGAACCCUGACCGAGCAACGCCGCGUGAGUGAAGAAGGGUUUCGGCUCGUAAAGCUCUGUUGGUAGUGAAGAAAGAUAGAGGUAGUAACUGGCCUUUAUUUGACGGUAAUUACUUAGAAAGUCACGGCUAACUACGUGCCAGCAGCCGCGGUAAUACGUAGGUGGCAAGCGUUGUCCGGAUUUAUUGGGCGUAAAGCGAGCGCAGGCGGUUCUUUAAGUCUGAUGUGAAAGCCCCCGGCUCAACCGGGGAGGGUCAUUGGAAACUGGAGAACUUGAGUGCAGAAGAGGAGAGUGGAAUUCCACGUGUAGCGGUGAAAUGCGUAGAUAUGUGGAGGAACACCAGUGGCGAAGGCGGCUACCUGGUCUGCAACUGACGCUGAGACUCGAAAGCAUGGGUAGCGAACAGG